AGUGAACGCUGGCGGCGUGCUUAACACAUGCAAGUCGAACGAGAACGGAUUAUAGCUUGCUAUAAUUGUCAGCUAAGUGGCGCACGGGUGAGUAAUGUGUAGGUAAUAUGCCUCUUACUAAGGGAUAACAAAUGGAAACGUUUGCUAAUACCUUAUACUCCUUAUUAACCUAAGUUAAUAAGGGAAAGAUUUAUUGGUAAGAGAUUAGCCUGUAUUGUAUCAGUUAGUUGGUGGGGUAAUGGCUUACCAAGACUAUGACACAUAACUGGUUUGAGAGGAUGAUCAGUCACACUGGAACUGAGACACGGUCCAGACUCCUACGGGAGGCAGCAGUGGGGAAUAUUGCACAAUGGACGAAAGUCUGAUGCAGCAACGCCGCGUGGAGGAUGACACAUUUCGGUGCGUAAACUCCUUUUAUAUGAGAAGAUAAUGACGGUAUUAUAUGAAUAAGCACCGGCUAACUCCGUGCCAGCAGCCGCCGCGG
RNAcentral lists this ribosomal RNA (484 nucleotides) under uncultured bacterium. RNAcentral describes it as "partial 16S ribosomal RNA". It matches the Rfam family "Bacterial small subunit ribosomal RNA", at positions 29 to 523 of the family's 1533-position model. The record is from RNAcentral.